RNAcentral lists this long non-coding RNA (465 nucleotides) under Physcomitrium patens. RNAcentral's name for it is "long non-coding RNA (PPAT_LNC008507)". Lineage: Eukaryota; Viridiplantae; Streptophyta; Bryopsida; Funariales; Funariaceae. The record is from RNAcentral.
GGAUUGGAGCAUCAUAACAUAUCUGGAUCGCACUGGUCUCUCCACCAGCGUUGUACAACUAGCCGCAUCUGUAAGAUAUUUGUGCAAUCUCACCUGCCGAUUUCGUUGUAAUUUUGGGAUAUAAUGAUGAAUUAUCUGCGUCAGAAAGAAGAGAAAACAAAAAAUCAAAUGUUGGAGUACAACUGCAGCCUAUCUUUUCACCCAUAAUCCGAAUGAAUAAACAAAAUAUCUUCUGGGAAUGAUGUGAGAUACGGGAAGAACUGCGGUUAUGGAAAUACAUUAGUAUAUAAUUUGUGAACACUUGAGGGAUCCUGUGAACCUUGCUUACUUCACUGCUGAGAAUAAAUCAAGCCUAGAGCUCUUUGCUUUCUUUCUUAUGUCAGUUUAAUUAAAAGACAUGACUGGUUUCAUAAGAUUCUUUCCUCAUGUCUAUGCAAUUGAAUCUAUAUGUUUGACUUGAGGGAU